Molecule: long non-coding RNA, 862 nt
Filed under: Triticum aestivum (bread wheat)
Lineage: Eukaryota; Viridiplantae; Streptophyta; Magnoliopsida; Poales; Poaceae
Description: long non-coding RNA (TAES_LNC013498)
Source: RNAcentral
CACGGCAAGCGCUACUGUUGGUGGAUGCGGUGGGUGCUCGUGGUCGCCGUGGGGCUCGCGGCCAUGCUUGUGCCCAAUUUCACCGACUUCCUCUCCCUCGUGGGGAGCAGCGUCUGCGUGCUGCUCGGCUUCGUGCUGCCGGCCACCUUCCACAUCAAGGUGUUCGGCGCCGAGAUGGGCUGGGUCGGGGUUCUCAGCGACGUCCUCCUGGUGGUGCUCGGCCUCGUGCUCGCCGUCUUCGGCACCUACUCGUCGCUGGUGCAAAUCUUCCACUCUUCCAGCGCUUAAAUUCCGGUAUUCGCCGAGGGCUAAUCUGCUCGGUGCAUUGGCUCUCUCUCAUCCACGCUGGUUAAGAUCUCGCGUAGUAGUUUUCCACGCUACCACUACCAGAAGGGGAUCAGUGGAUCAGAGAGGAAUUGCCUGGCUCAGCUAUUUGUUGAUCUGGGAAAUGGAUUGCGUGCAUUCGUUUGGGAAUUCUUGUUCAGAUUGUUAGUACGAGAUAGUACUAGUUGAUUGGAGGCAUGGAGAAAUCUGUAUGGUUUUGCUACGACAGAUUCCGAUCAUGUCUGCCUAUAGCAUUCUUCUACUCUGUUCGUGUCCUAGAUGUUCCAGCUGCAGUGCAUAUGGAAUGGAUGAAAGGAUACGAAUUUCAGUAUUUAGUUACUUGUGCGCCGUAGUGUCAGCGUGCAAGGUUGUGUCUUGUGUGUGGCUAAUUGGGCUGGGCAAGCAAUUGGGACGACUUACAUUGCUUGUCAAAGCACCAUUACGUGAUACUCCUACCAUUGUAUACGUUUCGAACUGUUGUACUAUGUCCCAAGCAAGCAACAUAAGCUUGUAAAGGGUCCCGAAGGAAUAAAAUUGG